Molecule: long non-coding RNA, 373 nt
Organism: Lepidothrix coronata (blue-crowned manakin)
Lineage: Eukaryota; Metazoa; Chordata; Aves; Passeriformes; Pipridae
Exons: 3
Source: RefSeq, a predicted model, not a curated record
CAGAAAAAUCUUUGUCCUGUUUCUACCAGACAAUGACAAAUAAAUAUGAGAAAAAGACAUGCACUCUACAGAUCAGGAAGUCCCACACUGAACACUGAUGACAGACAACACAGGACGGUUUUAAGCAGACUCCCGGAGCGUCAUACAUUGCAUUGACCUCUACAAAGGGCACCUUUUCCUGCUGUGCAGCUAUGUUAACACUGGUCUCGUGGUAUGACUGAAGCCCUUCCCUCAUGCCCCUUCCAUCUGACUGGUGCAGGAAGAUGCACCUGAGAUCUGGAUCAAGUCUGUUACAGGGCACAGCUACUACUCUCUGAAUGAGUUCACUCUCAGGUAAAUGGACAGACAGAAGACAAACAUGAAAGGAGAAUCA